RNAcentral lists this long non-coding RNA (478 nucleotides) under Rattus norvegicus (Norway rat). RNAcentral's name for it is "long non-coding RNA NONRATT033981". Lineage: Eukaryota; Metazoa; Chordata; Mammalia; Rodentia; Muridae. The record is from RNAcentral.
GAAAAAAAAAACUUUGUUGCCAAAAGGUUGUGCUAUCCCAAUUUUUUAUAUGUCUGCAUGUUUGAAAACACAAAAAAAAAAAAAAAAAACAAAAGAAAAUGCACUCUAACUUAUGUGAACUGAGAGAAAAAAAAUCAGGUUUUAAAAAGGAAAAACCCAUGGGGAAUGAUAUUUUUUGAAAGACUUUUGUAUACAGUUGAGUACUUAGAAAAAGACGAACCAGAUGUAAUAUAUUUUGUGGAUGUUUUUAUUUCUUGGAUUUAUAGUACCUUAUACUAAGGUUAAAAAAAUGCUUGAUAUUGUGAAAAGGUGAGAUUCUUCACCAACAUUUCAUUUACUUCUUGUCACAUUGUUAUGCCAAUAUAAUAUAGUUAAUGAAAACAGCAUUUUUAAAAGCAAUUAUUGAAACGGUGUAAUGUUGUACCAUUUGCCCUGUGAGCAAAUGCGAAUACAGUAAAUAUAUUGUGUUUGCUGACAA